GACGAACGCUGGCGGCGUGCCUAAUACAUGCAAGUAGAACGCUGAAGGAGGAGCUUGCUUCUCUGGAUGAGUUGCGCACGGGUGAGUAACGCGUAGGUAACCUGCCUGGUAGCGGGGGAUAACUAUUGGAAACGAUAGCUAAUACCGCAUAAUAGUAGAUGUUGCAUGACAUUUGCUUAAAAGGUGCAAUUGCAUCACUACCAGAUGGACCUGCGUUGUAUUAGGUAGUUGGUGAGGUAACGGCUCAACAAGGCAACGAUUCAUAGCCGGCCUCGGAAGGUGGACCGGCACACCGGGACCGAGACACCGCCCAGACUCCUUCGGGAGGGAGCAGUAGGGGAUUCUCGGGAAUGGACGGAAGUCUGACCGAGCAACGGCGCGGGAGUGAAGAAGGUUUUCGGAUCGUAAAGCUCUGUUGUAAGAGAAGAAAGAGUGUGAGAGUGGAAAGUUCACACUGUGACGGUACCUUACCAGAAAGCGACGGCUAACUACGUG
Molecule: ribosomal RNA, 495 nt
Filed under: uncultured bacterium
Lineage: Bacteria
Description: partial 16S ribosomal RNA
Rfam family: Bacterial small subunit ribosomal RNA
Source: RNAcentral